Molecule: ribosomal RNA, 234 nt
Filed under: uncultured bacterium
Lineage: Bacteria
Description: partial 16S ribosomal RNA
Rfam family: Bacterial small subunit ribosomal RNA
Source: RNAcentral
UGAGCAAUCUGCCCUUCUCUUCGGAAUAAGCGUUGGAAACGACGUCUAAUGCCGAAUACGACCUCCUUUCGCAUGAUCGGAGGUGGAAAGCUCCGGCGGAGAAGGAUGAGCUCGCGGCCUAUCAGCUAGUUGGUGUGGGUAAUGGCCCACCAAGGCGACGACGGGUAGCCGGCCUGAGGAGGGUGACCGGCCACACUGGGACUGAGACACGGCCCAGACCUCCUACAGGAGCAG